This 465-nucleotide ribosomal RNA is filed under the name Vreelandella stevensii. Its description in RNAcentral is "partial 16S ribosomal RNA". It matches the Rfam family "Bacterial small subunit ribosomal RNA", at positions 338 to 795 of the family's 1533-position model. The record is from RNAcentral. Lineage: Bacteria; Pseudomonadati; Pseudomonadota; Gammaproteobacteria; Oceanospirillales; Halomonadaceae.
CCUACGGGGGGCAGCAGUGGGGAAUAUUGGACAAUGGGCGAAAGCCUGAUCCAGCCAUGCCGCGUGUGUGAAGAAGGCCUUCGGGUUGUAAAGCACUUUCAGUGGGGAAGAAAGCCUUGGGGCUAAUACCCUCGAGGAAGGACAUCACCCACAGAAGAAGCACCGGCUAACUCCGUGCCAGCAGCCGCGGUAAUACGGAGGGUGCGAGCGUUAAUCGGAAUUACUGGGCGUAAAGCGCGCGUAGGCGGUCUGAUAAGCCGGUUGUGAAAGCCCCGGGCUCAACCUGGGAACGGCAUCCGGAACUGUCAGGCUAGAGUGCAGGAGAGGAAGGUAGAAUUCCCGGUGUAGCGGUGAAAUGCGUAGAGAUCGGGAGGAAUACCAGUGGCGAAGGCAGCCUUCUGGACUGACACUGACGCUGAGGUGCGAAAGCGUGGGUAGCAAACAGGAUUAGAUACCCUAGUAGUC